GCGGCCGGUGCUCGGNNCGGUUCCUGCGCGCCGUCCGCACCCACCUGGCGACUGCUCGCUACGUUUUGUGAGCC
This 74-nucleotide small RNA is filed under the name Xanthomonas pisi DSM 18956. Its description in RNAcentral is "sX9". It matches the Rfam family "Xanthomonas sRNA sX9". The record is from RNAcentral. Lineage: Bacteria; Pseudomonadati; Pseudomonadota; Gammaproteobacteria; Lysobacterales; Lysobacteraceae.